This is a long non-coding RNA of Aethalodelphis obliquidens (Pacific white-sided dolphin), 946 nucleotides long. RefSeq lists it as uncharacterized. The transcript is spliced from 2 exons. The record is from RefSeq and is a predicted model, not a curated record. NCBI's taxonomy places the organism in Eukaryota, Metazoa, Chordata, Mammalia, Artiodactyla, Delphinidae.
GUCAGCAAGAGACGCUGGGGAGAAAGCAGGGACUGCGAGCCCCGCGGAUGCGGCAGCGCGGAGGGCGGCUGGGGAGACGCUACUCCAACUGUUGAAUUUUCACCUUUCAUUUCCACCGAUGCUUUGCUUGCGGAGAUGGAUAUAUUUGCUUUGAAAUCCGCACGUCUUUCGCAGGCUGUGAGCUGAUCGUGACAGGCACCAGACUGAGAGACCACCCGUGACAAAAAAGGAGGACCCCCCAAAAAAAAACCAAAAAAGCAAAAACCUCCACAACGGACUGCACAAUUAACUACGCACACCGGUGUUGGACUUUGUGAAUAGAGAACAUUGAGAGGAAAAUCGUGAAAUAUGAUGCGGGGCUAAUCUGUGAACAGUCACUGUAAUCCAGAUUUGUUUUUUUUUUUUCCCCCAAGACUCUGAAAGAUUUGGGGGUUCCUUACGCCUAACAAAAAGGGAAGGUUUUUUUGUCGUUGUUUUGUUUUGUUUUUGUUUUUAAAUAAAUACACCUUGCAAAACAGACGCCUUGCUAUCCAGAGCCUCGGACUCCGGCAGAAAGAGAGUGAGUCAGAGAAAGCAUUAGGAAGAAGCCACAACUAAUGUCUGUGAAGGGAGGACGAUGAGGCGAGAGUGAAUACGAUUCGUUCCGCUACUUCUGACUCAUCCGGCAGAUCGGAACACCUGCAUUUCUGGAUGUGUCAUUCCUGUUUGUCGAGGCGCCUCGACAACCCGAAAUAGUGUGUAGACAGACCCGUGCCUAGUAUCCCCUGGGCGGUAGCUACCCGGGGAGGGCUCCCCUGGCUGGACCGCCGCGGCCGCAGCUCCUCGCCCGCUGCCCUCGCUAGUCGCCCAGAGAGACUGCGAGAGCGAGACUGCAGAAUGCAUCACGCCAAACCUUGAUGCGUUCCUUUCAUCCAGCCCACUCCUCCUACUAUAGAAAAAAUUGAAG